Molecule: ribosomal RNA, 253 nt
Filed under: uncultured bacterium
Lineage: Bacteria
Description: partial 16S ribosomal RNA
Rfam family: Bacterial small subunit ribosomal RNA
Source: RNAcentral
UACGUAGGGGGCAAGCGUUGUCCGGAUUUAUUGGGCGUAAAGAGCGUGUAGGCGGCCACGCAGGUCCGUUGUGAAAACUGGAGGCUCAACCUCCAGCUGUCGACGGAAACCGUGUGGCUAGAGUCCGGAAGAGGAGAGUGGAAUUCCUGGUGUAGCGGUGAAAUGCGCAGAUAUCAGGAAGAACACCCGUGGCUAAGGCGGCUCUCUAGUACGGUACUGACGCUGAGACGCGAAAGCGUGGGGAGCGAACAGG